GAUGAACGCUGGCGGCGUGCCUAAUACAUGCAAGUCGAGCGAACAGAUGAGGAGCUUGCUCCUCUGACGUUAGCGGCGGACGGGUGAGUAACACGUGGAUAACCCACCUACAAGACUGGGAUAACCUCGGGAAACCGGAGCUAAUACCGGAUAAUAUCUUGAACCGCAUGGUUCAAUAGUGAAAUACGGUUUUGCUGUCACUUAUAGAUGGAUCCGCGCCGCAUUAGCUAGUUGGGAAGGUAACGGCUUACCAAGGCGACGAUGCGUAGCCGACCUGAGAGGGUGAUCGGCCACACUGGAACUGAGACACGGUCCAGACUCCUACGGGAGGCAGCAGUAGGGAAUCUUCCGCAAUGGGCGAAAGCCUGACGGAGCAACGCCGCGUGAGUGAUGAAGGUCUUCGGGUCGUAAAACUCUGUUAUUAGGGAAGAACAAAUGUGUAAGUAACUAUGCACGUCUUGACGGUACCUAAUCAGAAAGCCACGGCUAACUACGUG
Molecule: ribosomal RNA, 497 nt
Filed under: uncultured bacterium
Lineage: Bacteria
Description: partial 16S ribosomal RNA
Rfam family: Bacterial small subunit ribosomal RNA
Source: RNAcentral